AUGCCGCCAUGAGCACAUGUACUAAAAUUGGAACGAUACAGAAAAAUUAGCAUCGCCCCUGCACAAAAGAAGUCUUUUGCACUAGAAUCUCCCAAAAGAUGU
Echinops telfairi (small Madagascar hedgehog) is the source of this 102-nucleotide small nuclear RNA. The record is from Ensembl. Lineage: Eukaryota; Metazoa; Chordata; Mammalia; Afrosoricida; Tenrecidae.